Molecule: small nuclear RNA, 103 nt
Organism: Sciurus carolinensis (gray squirrel)
Lineage: Eukaryota; Metazoa; Chordata; Mammalia; Rodentia; Sciuridae
Source: RefSeq, a predicted model, not a curated record
GUGCUUGCUUUGGCAGCACAUAUACUAAAAUUGGAAAAAUAAAGAGAUUCGCAUGGCCCUGCACAAGGAUGACAUGCAAAUUUGUGAAGCAAUUCUUUUUACU